GAUGAACGCUGGCGGCGUGCUUAACACAUGCAGGUCGAACGAUGAAGCCCAGCUUGCUGGGUGGAUUAGUGGCGAACGGGUGAGUAACACGUGAGUAACCUGCCCUUAACUCUGGGAUAAGCCUGGGAAACUGGGUCUAAUACCGGAUAGGAGCGUCCACCGCAUGGUGGGUGUUGGAAAGAUUUAUCGGUUUUGGAUGGACUCGCGGCCUAUCAGCUUGUUGGUGAGGUAAUGGCUCACCAAGGCGACGACGGGUAGCCGGCCUGAGAGGGUGACCGGCCACACUGGGACUGAGACACGGACCAGACUCCUACGGGAGGCAGCAGUGGGGAAUAUUGCACAAUGGGCGCAAGCCUGAUGCAGCGACGCCGCGUGAGGGAUGACGGCCUUCGGGUUGUAAACCUCUUUCAGUAGGGAAGAAGCGAAAGUGACGGUACCUGCAGAAGAAGCACCGGCUAACUACGUG
RNAcentral lists this ribosomal RNA (466 nucleotides) under uncultured bacterium. Its description in RNAcentral is "partial 16S ribosomal RNA". It matches the Rfam family "Bacterial small subunit ribosomal RNA", at positions 28 to 507 of the family's 1533-position model. The record is from RNAcentral.